Non-coding RNA from Triticum aestivum (bread wheat), 183 nucleotides. NCBI's taxonomy places the organism in Eukaryota, Viridiplantae, Streptophyta, Magnoliopsida, Poales, Poaceae. The record is from Rfam.
CAUGUACUCCCUCCGUCUCAAAAUUCCUGUCUUAGAUUUGUCUAGAUACGAGUCUAGAUACCCGUAUCUAGACAAAUCUAAGACAAGAAUUUUGGAACGGAUGUAUCUAACACUAAACGUAACUAGAUACAUCCGUAUUUAGACCAAUUUAAGACAAAAAUUUUGGGACGGAGGGAGUAGUAC